UUUCCCUCAGGAUAGCUGGCACUCGCUAGAGCGAGUCUCAUCUGGUAAAGCGAAUGAUUAGAGGCCUUGGGGCCGAAACGACCUCAACCUAUUCUCAAACUUUAAAUGGGUGAGAUCUCUGGCUUGCUUGAAACUUGAAGCCACGAGAUAAACUUUGUAUCAUGGAUCAGAGUGCCAAGUGGGCCAAUUUUGGUAAGCAGAACUGGCGCUGUGGGA
RNAcentral lists this ribosomal RNA (216 nucleotides) under Orasema sp. D0908. Its description in RNAcentral is "partial 28S ribosomal RNA". It matches the Rfam family "Eukaryotic large subunit ribosomal RNA", at positions 967 to 1163 of the family's 3401-position model. The record is from RNAcentral. Lineage: Eukaryota; Metazoa; Arthropoda; Insecta; Hymenoptera; Eucharitidae. RNAcentral also lists the same sequence under 1 other name.